GGGCACUUAGCUCAGUUUGGCAGAGCGUCUGACUCUUAAUCAGAUGGUCGUAGGUUCGAAUCCUACAGUGCCUG
RNAcentral lists this transfer RNA (74 nucleotides) under Candidatus Nesciobacter abundans. It matches the Rfam family "tRNA". Rfam says of the family: Transfer RNA (tRNA) molecules are approximately 80 nucleotides in length. Their secondary structure includes four short double-helical elements and three loops (D, anti-codon, and T loops). Further hydrogen bonds mediate the characteristic L-shaped molecular structure. tRNAs have two regions of fundamental functional importance: the anti-codon, which is responsible for specific mRNA codon recognition, and the 3' end, to which the tRNAs corresponding amino acid is attached (by aminoacyl-tRNA synthetases). tRNAs cope with the degeneracy of the genetic code in two manners: having more than one tRNA (with a specific anti-codon) for a particular amino acid; and 'wobble' base-pairing, i.e. permitting non-standard base-pairing at the 3rd anti-codon position. Lineage: Bacteria; Pseudomonadati; Pseudomonadota; Alphaproteobacteria; Holosporales; Holosporaceae. The record is from Rfam by way of RNAcentral.